This 810-nucleotide ribosomal RNA is filed under the name uncultured bacterium. Its description in RNAcentral is "bacterial SSU rRNA". It matches the Rfam family "Bacterial small subunit ribosomal RNA", at positions 49 to 836 of the family's 1533-position model. The record is from RNAcentral.
UCAAGAAUGCAGUCGAACGCUGAUUGCGAGGUAGCAAUAUUUCGCAGUCGGAGUGGCGCAAGGGUGCGUAACACGUGGGUAAUCUGCCGUAAAGACUGGGACAACUUGCUGAAAGGCGAGCUAAUACCGGAUGUUAAUGUUGGGAGGCCUCUCCUGACCUUCAAAGCUGGGGACCGCAAGGCCUGGCACUUUACGAUGAGCCCGCGGCCUAUCAGGUAGUUGGCGGGGUAAUGGCCCACCAAGCCUUAGACGGGUAGCUGGUCUGAGAGGACGACCAGCCACACUGGAACUGAGACACGGUCCAGACACCUACGGGUGGCAGCAGUCGAGAAUUUUUCACAAUGGGGGAAACCCUGAUGGAGCGACGCCGCGUGGGGGAUGAAGGGCUUCGGCUCGUAAACCCCUGUCAUUUGUGACCAAGGUCGUCGAUUGAACAGAUCGGCGGUUUGAUGGUAGCGAAAGAGGAAGGGACGGCUAACUCUGUGCCAGCAGCCGCGGUAAUACAGAGGUCCCAAGCGUUGUUCGGAUUCACUGGGCGUAAAGGGUGCGUAGGUGGUUGAGUAAGUCUGAUGUGAAAUCUCCGAGCUUAACUCGGAAAAUGCAUCGGAAACUGCUCGGCUAGAGGAUUGGAGGGGAGACUGGAAAUUCUCGGUGUAGCAGUGAAAUGCGUAGAUAUCGAGAGGAACACCAGUGGCGAAGCGAGUCUCUGGACAAUUCCUGACACUGAGCACGAAAGCUAGGGAGCAAACAGGAUUAGAUACCCUGUAGUCCUAGCUGUAACGGUGCACGUUUGCUGUAAUCGAUCGACCC